GAGUUUUGAUCAUGGCUCAGGAUGAACGCUAGCGGCAGGCCUAACACAUGCAAGUCGAGGGGCAGCACGGUGUAGCAAUACACUGGUGGCGACCGGCGCACGGGUGCGUAACGCGUAUGCAACCUACCCAUAACAGGGGGAUAACACUGAGAAAUUGGUACUAAUACCCCAUAACAUCAGGACCGGCAUCGGUUCUGGUUGAAAACUCCGGUGGUUAUGGAUGGGCAUGCGUUGUAUUAGCUUGGG
This 246-nucleotide ribosomal RNA is filed under the name uncultured bacterium. Its description in RNAcentral is "partial 16S ribosomal RNA". It matches the Rfam family "Bacterial small subunit ribosomal RNA", at positions 9 to 250 of the family's 1533-position model. The record is from RNAcentral.